AUUGAACGCUGGCGGCAGGCCUAACACAUGCAAGUUGAGCGGUAGCACAGAGAGCUUGCUCUCGGGUGACGAGCGGCGGACGGGUGAGUAAUGUCUGGGAAACUGCCUGAUGGAGGGGGAUAACUACUGGAAACGGUAGCUAAUACCGCAUAACGUCGCAAGACCAAAGUGGGGGACCUUCGGGCCUCAUGCCAUCAGAUGUGCCCAGAUGGGAUUAGCUAGUAGGUGGGGUAACGGCUCACCUAGGCGACGAUCCCUAGCUGGUCUGAGAGGAUGACCAGCCACACUGGAACUGAGACACGGUCCAGACUCCUACGGGAGGCAGCAGUGGGGAAUAUUGCACAAUGGGCGCAAGCCUGAUGCAGCCAUGCCGCGUGUAUGAAGAAGGCCUUCGGGUUGUAAAGUACUUUCAGCGGGGAGGAAGGCGACAAGGUUAAUAACCUUGUCGAUUGACGUUACCCGCAGAAGAAGCACCGGCUAACUCCGUGCCAGCCGCCGCCGUAA
RNAcentral lists this ribosomal RNA (504 nucleotides) under uncultured bacterium. RNAcentral describes it as "partial 16S ribosomal RNA". It matches the Rfam family "Bacterial small subunit ribosomal RNA", at positions 30 to 523 of the family's 1533-position model. The record is from RNAcentral.